AUUAAAAAAAAAAAGAGAAAAGAAAAGAGUGGUAAAUGGCUUGUUGGUGCAUGCAGCCACAAAGCUAAUGGCUUCCUUUAGGGUCAUGCUAACUAGAAAUAAAUGACAAUCUCAACUAGGUGCAAUGGAUUUCACUAUGCAACUAUAUACCCGCUCCAAGUAAGAGCACUUGUUACAGAAAUGUUUACAAGCAAAGGAUCCUUUUCUCUUCCUUCUCUCUUGUUGUUGUUGUUGUUGUUGUGUGUG
RNAcentral lists this unclassified non-coding RNA (246 nucleotides) under Hevea brasiliensis (rubber tree). The record is from RNAcentral. Lineage: Eukaryota; Viridiplantae; Streptophyta; Magnoliopsida; Malpighiales; Euphorbiaceae.